CGAACGUUAGCGGCGGGCUUAACACAUGCAAGUCGCACGAGAACCUUCUUCGGAAGGCGUAAAGUGGCGCACGGGUGCGUAACACGUAGGUAAUCUGCCCUUCGGCGGGGGAUAACGUUCCGAAAGGAACGCUAAUACCGCAUAAGACCACGGCCUCUAUGGGGGCUGAGGUCAAGGCUGGCCUCUUCAUGAAAGCUAGCACCGAAGAAUGAGCCUGCGGCCCAUCGGCUAGUUGGCGAGGUAAUGGCUCACCAAGGCGAAGACGGGUAGCUGGUCUGAGAGGAUGAUCAGCCACACUGGCACUGAAACACGGGCCAGACUCCUACGGGAGGCAGCAGUGGGGAAUAUUGGACAAUGGGCGCAAGCCUGAUCCAGCCACGCCGCGUGAGUGAUGAAGGCCUUCGGGUUGUAAAGCUCUGUGGGAUGGGACGAAAAAAGCGGAGGCGAAUAGGCUCUGCUCUUGACGGUACCGUCUUAGCAAGCACCGGCUAACUCUGUG
This 499-nucleotide ribosomal RNA is filed under the name uncultured bacterium. RNAcentral describes it as "bacterial SSU rRNA". It matches the Rfam family "Bacterial small subunit ribosomal RNA", at positions 30 to 507 of the family's 1533-position model. The record is from RNAcentral.